This is a long non-coding RNA of Cyprinus carpio carpio, 1004 nucleotides long. NCBI's taxonomy places the organism in Eukaryota, Metazoa, Chordata, Actinopteri, Cypriniformes, Cyprinidae. The record is from Ensembl.
AGCUGUACGUGUUGUCAUGGCUACAGGGGCGUGUGAUCAGGGAGCAUGUUGUGUCGGAGAGCUAUCAUUAUUUGGCUGACCUGUAAACCACAGACUGGUUGUUGAGGGGCCAGCUCUCCGUGCAGUUUUGUUUUUGAGGAAAAUAAGCUAGAGAGAAAACGGUUGGACUCCACACUUAACUGCAGCACACUGGCCCCAAACACUGCACAGAGGGGCCCGGACACUGUGCAUCAUUUGGAUUAUUUGUUGGAAUGUCUAAGUAUGAUGUCAUAAGGCACUGAUCUGUUCAGACAGACUCAGCCGCUGGUGUCAGGAACUUGUGGUGUUUACCUCACUGCCAUGACUCAAGGUGUGCAGUGAUGGCCCCUAAUUAACUUGUGUUUGAGAUACACAAUGUUCUCUCCAGACAUGACCUAGAUCCUCGAGAGCACAACAAGUAAAGAACAGCGGGUGGAGGAGGAAAAGUGAUAGAGAUAAAUACAAGCCAACAGGACAAUGUCAGACUCAUAUGCUUUCUCCAGAGAGCCCCUUUCAUUCUCCUCUCCUCUCCCGGCUGGACGCGACCCUCUCUUCCUUCAUUGGUUGUCUAUCUCGUGGGAGGGGAAUCAAUUAUUUUUUUUUAAUAAGAGUUCCAAUUAGUCCUGAGCACACUGUGCUAAAUAUAAGUCUUAUUGUCAUGAUCUAAUAAGCAGAAGGCCGGAGUUUGACCCCUGUCAGAUGAGCGCUGGGUGUUACGUUAAGGCCCUCAUAUAGCUCUUGAACACAGUUCAGUACAAUUCAUUACAGUGUUCCAGUGUAACUAGACAAACCCACCGCACGUCAACACGAGGCCCGUCAACCCGAGGCUCGUCAACCCCACUGGCACAGGGAAAGACAUGCUUUUUACCUUGUCAAGUGGGAUUAUGAAAGUUUGUGUGAAAUUUGUGUGUAAAGCGAGUGACAGUGGAUGACUUGUAUGCUAUGCACAAUUAAAAAUUGACACACUUCACCUUAAGCAACAUCAG